UAGGGAAUCUUCCGCAAUGGGCGAAAGCCUGUCGGAGCAACGCCUCGUGAGUGAUGAAGGUCUUCGGAUCGUAAAACUCUGUUAUUAGGGAAGAACAAAUGUGUAAGUAACUAUGCACGUCUUGACGGUACCUAAUCAGAAAGCCACGUCUAACUACGUGCCAGCAGCCGCGGUAAUACGUAGGUGGCAAGCGUCAUCCGGAACUAUUGGGCGUAAAGCGCGCGUAGGCGGUUUUUUAAAUCUGAUGUGAAAGCCCACUGCUCAACCGUGGCGGGUCAUUCGACACUGGCAAACUUGAGUGCAUAAUAGGAAGGUGGAAUUCCAUGUGUAGCGGUGCCAUGCGCCGCGGUAUGGCGGAACACCAGUGGCGACGGCGACUUUCUGGUCUGUAACUGACGCUGAUGUGCGAAAGCGGGGGGAUCAAACAGG
RNAcentral lists this ribosomal RNA (429 nucleotides) under Actinomycetes bacterium. RNAcentral's name for it is "Actinobacteria bacterium partial 16S ribosomal RNA". It matches the Rfam family "Bacterial small subunit ribosomal RNA", at positions 355 to 776 of the family's 1533-position model. The record is from RNAcentral. Lineage: Bacteria; Bacillati; Actinomycetota; Actinomycetes.